GACGAACGCUGGCGGCGUGCUUAACACAUGCAAGUCGAACGGAAAGGCCCUGCUUUUGUGGGGUGCUCGAGUGGCGAACGGGUGAGUAACACGUGAGUAACCUGCCCUUGACUUUGGGAUAACUUCAGGAAACUGGGGCUAAUACCGGAUAGGAGCUCCUGCUGCAUGGUGGGGGUUGGAAAGUUUCGGCGGUUGGGGAUGGACUCGCGGCUUAUCAGCUUGUUGGUGGGGUAGUGGCUUACCAAGGCUUUGACGGGUAGCCGGCCUGAGAGGGUGACCGGCCACAUUGGGACUGAGAUACGGCCCGGACUCCUACGGGAGGCAGCAGUGGGGAAUAUUGCACAAUGGGCGGAAGCCUGAUGCAGCAACGCCGCGUGCGGGAUGACGGCCUUCGGGUAGUAAACCGCUUUCGCCUGUGACGAAGCGUGAGUGACGGUAAUGUGUAAAGAAGCACCGGCUAACUACGUG
RNAcentral lists this ribosomal RNA (468 nucleotides) under uncultured bacterium. RNAcentral describes it as "partial 16S ribosomal RNA". It matches the Rfam family "Bacterial small subunit ribosomal RNA", at positions 28 to 507 of the family's 1533-position model. The record is from RNAcentral.